GAUGAACGCUGGCGGCGUGCCUAAUACAUGCAAGUCGAGCGAACAGACGAGGAGCUUGCUCCUCUGACGUUAGCGGCGGACGGGUGAGUAACACGUGGAUAACCUACCUAUAAGACUGGGAUAACUUCGGGAAACCGGAGCUAAUACCGGAUAAUAUAUUGAACCGCAUGGUUCAAUAGUGAAAGACGGUUUUGCUGUCACUUAUAGAUGGAUCCGCGCCGCAUUAGCUAGUUGGUAAGGUAACGGCUUACCAAGGCUACGAUGCGUAGCCGACCUGAGAGGGUGAUCGGCCACACUGGAACUGAGACAAGGUCCAGACUCCUACGGGAGGCAGCAGUAGGGAAUCUUACGCAAUGGGCGAAAGCCUGACGGAGCAACGCCGCGUGAGUGAUGAAGGUCUUCGGAUCGUAAAACUCUGUUAUUAGGGAAGAACAAAUGUGUAAGUAACUAUGCACGUCUUGACGGUACCUAAUCAGAAAGCCACGGCUAACUACGUGCCAGCCGCCGCUGUAA
This 513-nucleotide ribosomal RNA is filed under the name uncultured bacterium. Its description in RNAcentral is "partial 16S ribosomal RNA". It matches the Rfam family "Bacterial small subunit ribosomal RNA", at positions 28 to 523 of the family's 1533-position model. The record is from RNAcentral.